RNAcentral lists this long non-coding RNA (797 nucleotides) under Heterocephalus glaber (naked mole-rat). RNAcentral describes it as "lncRNA (ENSHGLG00000032336.1)". Lineage: Eukaryota; Metazoa; Chordata; Mammalia; Rodentia; Bathyergidae. The record is from RNAcentral.
CACCCAUGCAUGGCAGCUUGGUCCCAACCCCAUGGAGAAAUCUGUCAGCACCUGAGCUUUCCUAGCAUGCCUUGCAGUGUCCUUGUCGGGGCUUUCUAGCUGACAGUCAGAGAUAAAGGAGCGAGUGAAUUAUUAUUUGCUAGUUAAGGAAAUUCAUCACAAUGAUUCUUCUUCUUAUGGAAAAGGAACAAGCCUGGUGCUGAGUACAGUGGCAAAUCUGAUCUGAAGUUACCUUAGAAGACCAAUCAUUGCAGAAGCAGCCGCCUGCGGCAGUCCUAGCAGUGUGCAAAAAAACCACCAGAGGAGACUGCCGGAGAGGAGAAACCAAAACAAAACCCACGGCGCCGCUUUACCCAGUUCUCCAAGGAGGAACUGAAGAAGAUCUCCUUUUCCCCCCCCUCCCCACCACCCGCACCCCGCUCCUCCACUCCCUCUGACCCCAACGGGGGUGGAGGGAAGAGCGUGGGCAGGGUUGGAGGGAGGAGCCCCGGCGGAGGCCGGGGAGAAAAUACAUGGCCGGGCGGACAUUGCUAGAGGAGAUGGCCCCGCCCAAAACACCCGCAACCACACGCAGCCUCGCCGGUGGCGGGGCCAGCAGAUUCCACUGUCUUCCCGUUGAGGGCGACUCGACCCCCUGAUGAACAUGGCAAUCAGCCUCUCCAGUAUUGGCCCUUUGCCACUAGUGACCUUUAUAAUUGGCGCACACAACACGCCAAGUUUUCUGACAAUCCCAGGGAUCUAAUUCAACUGUUAGAGACUGUUUUGUUCACCCACCAUCCCACCUGAAAUGACUGUCA